UUCUCCAUUCGAUAGUUUCUCAUCUUCGCACUCAAAUUUUCAGAUCCGAUAGAAAAUUUUGUUGUAAUCAAUCCGGACAGAAUCUAGGACAUGCAAGUCUCGGUUGCUUGACUUCAAACUGAUAUUUUUUUCAUGCUUCAAUUUUAAGAUUCCGAACAGAAGCUUAUCAUCGGUUCUCUAUUUGUUUCCAUUUAUUGGAUCUCUUAAGUUCUCUGCUGGAGAGAAAGCAAGGUUUUUGAGAGCAAUCAAAGAUAAUAUUGACAUAUAUAACACAGUUUCGUAGCAAAACUUGAUUAAAACCAUUAUUUCAGGUUCAAUCGCUCUUCAAUUUAGAUUUUGUUUAUUUAUUAAGCUCUGCGACUCUAAAUCUUCCUUAGUUAAUAGUAUCGUUAACUGCUUUGGUGUUUUGAUGAAAUUGAUUGGAGUGUAAGUCUGCUCCAGCAAGAGUGUUUUCACUAAAUCAAUGUUUUUUUUUUUGUCAAAAGGCAAUUCAUUUCAAUUAAACUGAGUAGUCGCGUACAAACAUAGAGUCCUUUAAGAUCGCUUUUGCUAAGGCCAUCUUUAU
Camelina sativa (false flax) is the source of this 565-nucleotide non-coding RNA. Lineage: Eukaryota; Viridiplantae; Streptophyta; Magnoliopsida; Brassicales; Brassicaceae. The record is from RefSeq and is a predicted model, not a curated record.